RNAcentral lists this ribosomal RNA (301 nucleotides) under uncultured bacterium. RNAcentral's name for it is "partial 16S ribosomal RNA". It matches the Rfam family "Bacterial small subunit ribosomal RNA", at positions 509 to 807 of the family's 1533-position model. The record is from RNAcentral.
CAGCCGCCGCGGUAAUACGAAGGGGGCUAGCGUUGUUCGGAAUUACUGGGCGUAAAGGGCGCGUAGGCGGCCAUUCAAGUUAGAUGUGAAAGCCCUGGGCUCAACCUAGGAAUUGCAUUUGAUACUGUUUGGCUUGAGUUCGGGAGAGGUGAGUGGAAUUCCCAGUGUAGAGGUGAAAUUCGUAGAUAUUGGGAAGAACACCAGUGGCGAAGGCGGCCAUCUGGGACAACACUGACGCUGAGGCACGAAAGCGUGGGGAGCAAACAGGAUUAGAUACCCCCGUAGUCCCUGUCUCUUAUAC